Strongylocentrotus purpuratus (purple sea urchin) is the source of this 5038-nucleotide RNA transcript. It is a transcript of the gene named guanine nucleotide exchange factor DBS, with no coding region annotated. NCBI's taxonomy places the organism in Eukaryota, Metazoa, Echinodermata, Echinoidea, Camarodonta, Strongylocentrotidae. The transcript is spliced from 28 exons. The record is from RefSeq and is a predicted model, not a curated record.
AUGAUUAAUGAUAAACCUAAAUUCUGAUUGAAAUAAUAUAUUUGUUUGCCUUUUUUUUCUUAUUUCAGACUUUGACAUGGACAUGUCGGAUGAGAUCCUGAUCACCGACAUCAUCGACCAGCUCAACCACCGGGUGGCAUUCAUCACAGGUGGUAAGACUCAGGAGGGGUAUCCCAUCAUCAACAUGCCGGAGUGUCCAAAGUUCAACCUGGUCCGAGAUGAAGACUUUGUCAGACUCAUGACCUACCUCGUCAGAAUACCAAGUUAUUUCCAAGGCCUACGAUGUGAAAGUCGUCUGGAAUUUGACAGGGGGUUCGUCAUAAUCAUCGAUCGAUCUACAAACUCAUGGGGAGACGUCAAAACGACCUUGAUUAGAAUAGCGGAUUAUUAUCAGGGUUACUUCCCCGGUAUCAUCCAAGGUGUGUACGUCAUCAAACCCAGAGGCUUCCUCCAGAAGACCUUCUCAGAGAUGCGCUUCAAAGGACUCAAGGAUGAAUUCAAAUUCAAGAUUGACCUAGUGGACAGCACCACCGAACUCCAUGCUCGGAUAGACCCCACGCAGCUUACCAACGAAUUCGGUGGUACUUUGAACUUUGACCUCAAAGGGUGGAUAGAAGACAGGAUGGCCAUCGAGCGGUUCGCCAGCAACUGUCGGGAGCGGUCGACGACGGUGCGCGCCCUGACGGAGGAGCUGCAGCUGAUGGAGAUGCCCAAUAAUGCGGAGAACGCCACCAUGCUGCUGAUCGAACAGCGGAAGCGUCGCAUGGAGGUCAAGGAGGACCUGACGUCCGCGGUCAAGUACGGUCAGACGCUGCUCAGCUGCCUACGAAAGGUCACCGGCGAUGGGAAGGAGAAGAACCCUGAUAAACUACUCACAACAUGUGCAAUAGAAAAACUAUUAGAAGAACUGGAAGUCUUGGAGAAGGAGUUUGACGACACCUGGUGCGACCAAGAAUCCAGGUUAAUAUUCUGCCUCAAAGUCAGGAAGUACGAAGAGGAAUUCAAAGUGGUAUUAUUACUGUUAGAAAAUAUCUCAGAGAAGAUCAACCCAGAAAGCAGCAUAGGCAAUGCUGUGGAAGAAUGCAACACAUUCUUGGAAAGACAUGCAGAAUUAGAAGCAGAGAGCAAGGAGGCCUUAGACCGAUCAGACAAGCUGACCCAGACGGGCGAGGACCUGAUGAAGAACGACAAGUACCCCAUGGAGGUGGCCAUCGUCGAGCCCAAGUGCACCGAGCUGGUCAGCAGAACCUCCGACCUGCAGGACAGCCUCGCCAACCGACGCACCAUGCUGGAGAGGUCUCUGGAACUGCACCAAAGGAUACAAAAGGCCGAUGAUUGGUGUAGCGAUGGCAUGAAGCUUCUGGCCUCGCAGGAAAUGGAUCAGUCCCAGUCCAAAGAGGGAGCCGAGAAGUACCUGCGCCAGAUCGACGAGGAGCUGAGAAGGUUUCGGGAACUCAAGCUCAGCGACCCGCGAGAGUUCCGUCAGAUGUUUGCGGAUAUACUCAGCGUCGAGGGGAAGUUUGAGCAGCAAAAGAACCUGGUUCGAGAAGCUGUUACAAAGAUGGAGGAUGUCAGGUCGCUUUUCCAGAAGCGCCGGGAAGGCUUGAAGAACAUCAUCGCCAAGUUUGAGAGGCCGAUUGUCAAGAUGGCCCCCGUGGCCCCCCUCCAGCACUCGCCCCACUCCUCCACGUCAACCACGCCCCACAGCUCGCCCUCCGGAGGCAGGCUGGGUGUCCCCCACAACGGCACUUCCGCCCCCGUCUCGCCCAGGCAGAAGCAUAAAAAGGGCAAAGGGCAACGGUUGGACCGUAAGAUCGAGAUCAUCCGCGAUGACUCACAGCCCAUGAGUUUCAGCAGUGACGGGGAAUUCCAGGAUGAAGUGGAUUGCAACUCUCUCAGUUAUAAGCGCAGAAUCCUCAUGAAAAUGGGUGUGUGUCCCAAGUCCUACGCUCACCAAGACAACGGUUUCCAUCACUUCGUAAUGGAGAAGAACCACUCCAACUCCUUUAGAUCCCUUGCUCAGUAUAAGCUGAGACAUGUGAUCAAGGAGCUGAUAGAGACAGAGAAGAUCUACGUAAAGGAGCUAGAAGCGGUUUUAAACGGUUACAUCAAGCAGAUGGAUAGCCCCGCCUUUGUGGGACAAAUCCCUCCCUCGCUGCAGGGGCACACAGACGUACUAUUUGCCAACUGGGAGCAGCUCUACAACUUCCACAAAAAUAAAUUCUUGGUGGAACUGGAGAAUUACAGAAACACACCCACCCUAGUCGGCAAGUGCUUUGUAGAUAUGAAAGAUGAGCUGGAUCAGCUGUACAGUGUUUAUUGCCAAAACAAACCCAGGUCUGAGUUAUUAAGGAGAGAAUGUGGCUCAAACAACACAUUUUUCCAAGAAUGCCAAAAGCAAUUAGGUCACAAACUACCCCUGAGUGCUUACCUACUGAAACCCGUUCAGAGGAUAACAAAGUAUCAACUCCUACUGAAGGAGAUGAUGAGAUACUCUCCAAUGGAGAAAGGAGCGGACGAUCUUCAGGCUGCUCUAGACUGCAUGCUAACAGUACUCAAAUAUGUCAAUGACUCCAUGCAUCAAGUAGCCAUUACUGGUUAUGAGGGAACCCUUUCUGAUCUUGGCAAGCUGCUCAUGCAAGGUCCCCUCCAUAUGUGGACGGAGCACAAGAGUCGUCACAAUCUCAAAGACAUCCGACAGAAGCGCAUGCAACGUCACAUCUUCCUCUACGAGAAGGCGGUGCUCUUCUGCAAGCGGCGGGGGGACAUCAGCGACAAAACGUUCUACGGCUACAAAAACAGUAUUCCUACACCGUCCUUAGGUUUGACAGAGCAUGUGAAAGGAGACAAGAAGAAGUUUGAGUUAUGGCUCGGUGGUAGAGUAGAAGUCUUCAUCUUACAGGCACCAACAGAAUCUGACAAGAUAGCAUGGACUAAGGCAAUCAGACAAGCCCUUCUAACCAACAAGGAGCAGACAGGGAGAAAAAUCUCAGCUACACAGAAGCCAAUCAUUGAGAAUCACGUAGAAGCGUUGCACGCCAACACCAACGCGGGUAACAACAAUGGUCUCUCACUCCCUUCACCGACCAGCGACUCGUCGUCAGCGGGUAGCGCAAAUCCCUCGCUUACAAGUGAGCCCUCGUUAGAGAACGAUGAGGAAUACGACGACUGGGGCAGCGCAGAGUUCACCGAUUCAGAAGAUGAGAUAUUAGAUCGGGAUUGCCUGUCUGAACCCGUCGACAUGAACCAGUACGUGGUGCUCGCCGAGUACAACGUGGUCGAGCCCGGGGAGCUGUCCGUGCGGGAGGGGGAGAUCGUCGAUGUGCAGAAGGUCGGUAAAUCGGGGUGGUGGCUGGUGCGCAAGCACUCGAACGCCGACCAGGGCUGGGUGCCGGCCAGCUACCUGGAAAUGCUUGCUAGUCGCAUCUCGCGUUCAAACCACUCCCUAAGCAGUCAAGACUCCUUCUACAUCUGAGGAGGUCAGCUGAUCAUUGAUCAGUGCGUGGGCUAGAGAGGGAGCCCUUCAGAGAGAGUCCGGAUGAACGGUAAACACAGAAGAGUGAACGGCAAGAGAUGAGACACCGUGACCCCUUGACCUACCUUGACCUACCUAUCUUUGUUGCGUGCUGGUCACACAGUCAGACACUCUUAACCCUCAGACUACUGAAUGCUCCAGUUCCCAUAGGCUUGACACAGGGACACACCCGGUUUCCAGGAGGCAACAGGUUAAGUGCCCUCCAGCAGUCGAGCAUACAUAACUAAAAACUUCCCAUGUCAUACAACAUUCCCGCUUCCAUGCUAAAAGCUUAUGGGAGACCAAACUGUAGCUAUUUUCCGAUUUAGAUGUCGCGUAUAUUUGGAGAGAUUUCGGGGAAAAACAGCAAGAAUUGGACAACAAAUUUUUUAUUGUGAAUGGUGACGCUGAAUAUUGGACACUUGACUUCAUGAAGUUGCAUCGUUUGGCAGAUCGAGAGACGAGUCAUUUUUAGAUGUUGAAAUACAGCAUUUGAUUAAUCAUGAAGAAACAUGUAUCCCUACAAAGCACCACCUACAUAUAUAUAUAUGCAUGUAGGCGUUAACUGCUACUCCUGUGUAGAGAGAGGCAACUGUGGAUGAAAUGCCCAAUAUCAGGGAGAAAGGAUCAGUUGGCUUGGAUUUGAACCUCUGACCCUACGAUUGCACACGAGUGACAUAACCAGCAGACCAGUUGGAACGGCAUCCUGGAGAAUACAUUCCGUGGAGCAUCACCAUGACAACAAAGAUGGAGAAUGGAUGUCAGGAUUGUAUGGCGCCCUCAUCGUAAUUUCUACUUAUUUUCUCUCUUCUCACAAUAAAUUUAUGUCGUGAAAGCUGUUAGCUCACCUAUGACGUCUUUUCCAAUAUACAGCGUUAGGGAAAGAAAUAUACACUACUAAUAGUGUUUAAUGUAUUACAUAAUCAUGUACGGUCUCAUAAUGCUUACCAACCUAUACAUAUGAUCUUUUCAUAACCAAAAGGGCAAUAACUGUUAAAGUACAUGUUCCUCAGAAAGUAUCUGCUUAAAUUUGUUUCAGCUGUCACAUUUAAUUGAUUAAUUCAAUAGAGCAAAGAAAGAGAUUAACAAAUACUCACUGUUUUUGACUAGUUUCAGGCUCUCUUUAAAAUAAUAUUCUUAGUAAAGUGAUCCAUAACUACAGUUUGCAAAAAAACUUACUUUCUUUUAAUAGACUGUUAUGAUAAGCAGAUCACUUUUUAUAUGGAUCCACCUGAAAUUUGAAACGGUUCAUUAACUUUUUUAACUGGAUGAUAUACCCUUGAUAAACUAUACCUUUGGAAUAAAAAGAGAUCAUAUACUCAAUACAUGUAUGUAUUACUCUAUACAGCAUACUUAAACCAAUAUGGGCAUUUCUAAUUACUCCCUAGAUUUUGUUUUUAUAUUGGUAAGAAAGAGCAAAUACUUGAGAAGGAGUGUCGAUAUGCCUUUUUUCGUAAUGUAAUCAAAGUUAAUGCAUACGUCUUUGUGAAUUAGUGCCUCGAUACAACUGAUUCCGUUCACCUG